Molecule: small nucleolar RNA, 138 nt
Organism: Tachyglossus aculeatus (Australian echidna)
Lineage: Eukaryota; Metazoa; Chordata; Mammalia; Monotremata; Tachyglossidae
Source: RefSeq, a predicted model, not a curated record
CCCUUCUCAGGGUCACACUUGGAGAGUUUCCAGUACUCUACCAAUCAUGAAUACAAGAGGGAGAGUCAAGCAGAAGCAUAUCCUUUCCAUCCCUAGCUUGGGCAGUGGCUAGCAAGUGGAAGGAAAUCUGCUACAAGU